Small nuclear RNA from Sciurus vulgaris (Eurasian red squirrel), 107 nucleotides. Lineage: Eukaryota; Metazoa; Chordata; Mammalia; Rodentia; Sciuridae. The record is from Ensembl.
GUGCUACUUCAGCAGCACAUAUACUAAAAUUGAAAUGAUACAGAGAAGAUUAGCAUGGCCUCUGAACAAGGAUGAUAAAGCCAAUUCAUGAAGUGACCCACUCCCAU